UAUUCGUUUUUCAACUGAAAUUUAAACCACACGUAUACUUUUGAGAGCCAAAAGAAACCGAAAAGGAAAAUGCUUCUCUGCAACCUUUCACCGAUUUUUCCUAUUCAAUCUCCACCAAACCCUAAUAAACCCUCCUUCACCACCGCAAUUAAAUCCAUUUCCGCCAACAGAGCCGCCGCAUCUCCAUCUCCGAGGAAAGCCACGUCAUCAGCCUCUGAAGCUCGCGUCUCGCUCAUAUUUGCUCUCGCUUCUCAAGCCUCUAAUGUGUCACAGCGACUUUUGCUGGAUUUGGCUAAUGAGACUGCGAAAUAUGUAUUUCCUAAGAGGUUUGAGAGCCGGAAUUUGGAGGAAGCACUCAUGGCAGUUCCCGAUCUCGAAACAGUGGAAUAUAAAGUGCUAAGUAGGAGAGACCGUUAUGAGAUUAGAGAAGUUGAGCCUUAUUUUAUAGCAGAGACGAUAAUGCCUGGAAAGACUGGAUUCGAUUUCAAUGGUGCAUCCCAGUCUUUUAAUGUCUUAGCUGAGUACUUGUUUGGUAAGAAUACAAAAACGGAGCGAAUGGAAAUGACUACUCCUGUUUUCACACGUAAGGCUCAGUCUGAUGGAGAGAAAAUGGAAAUGACAACACCUGUGAUAACGAAGAAGGUGGAAGAUCAGGAUAAGUGGAAGAUGUCCUUUGUGAUGCCUUCCAAGUAUGGUGCUGAUUUGCCAUUGCCUAAAGAUACAACUGUGAAGAUAAAAGAAAUGCCAAAGAAAAUAAUCGCAGUUCUAGCAUUUUCAGGUUUUGUUACCGAUGAAGAUGUUAAACAAUGGGAAUCGAAGUUACGAAAUGCAUUGAAAAAUGAUCAUCAGUUUAGGAUUAAAAGGGGCGCUUCAGUGGAAAUUGCACAGUACAAUCCUCCAUUCACGCUUCCAUUUCAGCGACGUAAUGAGAUAUCAUUAGAAGUCGAAAGGAAAGAAGAAUAACUAUUUAAUUAUAGAAUCUGGAAGUAUACAAUUUACAUAUGCUCAAAUCAGUUUUAGUCCAUUGUUCAAGAGAAGGUCUUCUGAUGGUAAAGCUAUUAUAGUUUCAUUAGCGCCAAACCUGCAAGAUUAAUUUUUACUGAGCUCUGAAAAGCGGAACUGGAAACAUGCUGCCUAAUAUACUGCAGAAACUAUAUCUGUAUCGUAUAAUUCCUUCAUAUUGGGGAUUUUUGCUAGACCUUAAUCAUGUCAUGUUAGUGAACCACCGAUCCUCAUAGUGGAUGAUGAAGAUAGUGGAGUUUGAAAAUGUGACCGCCCUAUGAGAUUCUUCAUUGGAGAGAUGCGUAUGAUAAUAAAAAAAUAUUUGUUAUUCAAUUCUUAUUGAGAAUGCAUGAUUAUUUGUUGUAUAGUUUGACUUUAUAAGGUACCCUUUUUGCGGUUUAUCUAGACUGUUAGAAAUGUCCCUUAGGUUUGCAACAAUCUUUCUUUGUGUUAUGGGAGUUAAAGUAGGUUGUAGCAGAUGUUGCACACUUUUGACACAAAUCAAUUCUUAAGCUUGGUGCAAGCAAACUUUAUCCACUUUAUUUUUAUAUCUACAUUGGUGUGAUGUUAGUUGUCCUGUUAGUUAAUACAUCAAGUGCAAAUGUUAAUAAGCUAUGUCACCCUUGCCAUCACGGUAGGAACUAAGGCACUGUGGAACAAUCCUUGUCCUUGAUGGUUUACAUUUUGGAUGGAAGAUUUUAUUUAUCAUCAUGAUCACUUAGAAAAAUAAAAAAUUUCAAUCCAUAACAUCAUUAUUAAAGAGACAACUAUACCCUUUUAUUUCUUAAAGCUUUUCUAUGACCUGGCAGGUGUUGGACUGCUUCUUAUCGGUUAGUUUAUGACAUUUUAAAUUCAUCUUGCUAUCAAAUUCAGCAUGGUAAUGUUUGAUUCUUGGAAAAAUUGUUUCUGUAAUGUGAAACUAGAAGUUUGUUUGGCUCUCAGGUUUAGAUUGUAAUACCAAUUCUUGGCCUAGUGAACAAUUCAUGAGUGAAGAUUUUCCAAUGAUUCAGUUGAUUUGGUUUCAUGUAUUUGUGUAUAAUUUAGUAGUUAAUAUUUGCAUGCUUUUCAAUAAACUGAGUUUGUAUUACUUGAUUGAAUAAUACGCCUGAGCUGUUCAGCCUAACUCUAUGAGAAAGAGUUGAUGCAGCAUGAACUCCAUUUCCUAAUAGUAUAUGGAUGUCAAAUCUGAUAAACCAUAUAAGCUACUUGGAGAUAAGAGUACUGAAAGAUAUGAUUGUAAUAUCAAGUGAAUUUUUGAUCGGAAAUGAAAAUGAAAAGAAUUGGAUUUAACUGCUUAAUUUGCGAAGGUUAAUGAUGUUUUUUAAUUAUUAUUAGGUCAUCCCUUAAAGCUUUUAUUUCUCAUUUUUUCCCUUUCACUCAUUUCAAGCUGUUCUUAUUUGGUUUAUACUAGGAUUACGCACCCUUUCAUUAAGGCUCAAACACAAAAAUGUUGAAAUAAGUUAUAAUUUGAAUGUUAAUAAUUGAUUUGGUUGAUAUGUUAGCUGCAGAUUCUAUUGAUUUCAAAGCAAGAAAACAUGAUAACACUUGUGUCGAGAACACAGGUUAAACUGCAUAAUUCCAGUAUCUUUUGGUAUACACUAUCUGUUGUUUGUUUAAACUUAAUUCAUGUUUUACUAGUCUACUUCUGGUAUGCUUUCUAAUACAGGCUUCCAAUUUUUAUUAUUAUCAUCAUUAUCAGAUGUAUCAACUAUCUGAACCUUCUGCUGACUCUGAAGCUGAGAAACCAUGUUAUUAACAGAAACUCCUCCCUUUUGCAGAAUUUCUUGCAGUUCUUGCUUACUUAUGACCAAUUUAAUUCUAACAACUCCAGUUUCUUGUUUAUGUUCCUCUUCUGGAAUUGAAAAUCUUACUUUCUUCUUAGCUUGUACAGAUGGUAAAGGCAGAGGUACAAGAUAGUAGAAGCUACCACCGUGCAGUUUGGUUUCUGGAGUUAUGUUUAAGUGGAUUAUUGCCAAAUCCCAAUUUUUACGGUGGAGGAUUAGCUAGAUUUUGUUGGACCACCUAAGUGGCUGACCACUAGUGCACCAUGGAUCUGGUUGACUGCAAUUUGUACAACAACAUUGACUAUCUGAUUCUUCAUGCAGUAACAUCAUCAACAUGCAUUGGAUAUGGCAAAUAAGGCAAGGUAUCUCUGAGUGGUACAAAUUUAGGUUAUGAAGCAAAGAGAAUGACAACAUUGAAAGUUCUGAUUUAUUAUGACGGAGUAUGGAAGGAAGAUCUUUAUGUAGACAUUGGUUUUACUUUUCAAUUAACUAAUAGUAUACUACGAAUCAUUAAAAAAUAUCAAUUUGUUCUUAAUAACUUAACAUUAGGUUGAAAAAUAAAAUUAAUAAGAAAUUAACA
Mercurialis annua (annual mercury) is the source of this 3366-nucleotide RNA transcript. It is a transcript of the gene named heme-binding-like protein At3g10130, chloroplastic, with no coding region annotated. The transcript is spliced from 13 exons. Lineage: Eukaryota; Viridiplantae; Streptophyta; Magnoliopsida; Malpighiales; Euphorbiaceae. The record is from RefSeq and is a predicted model, not a curated record.